UAAAAAGCAAGUGUGUUUUGCUUUUGAAUGAUUAAUCUUAAUCCAAUUUUUUUUCCAGGUUAAGCAUGAAUUUUCUUUUCCAGCACUGUGCCAAGUUUUUACUCUUUGAAGAUAUCAUUAAAAACACCUCAAAGUUCCUCUGCCUCACACAAUGUUGUUUUCAGGAAUUGCUUGAAGGCAGAUAUAUUAACCUGGAUGAUAAUUCCAUUUCAAGAGGAAGAAUGAAGGACAAAAUUGAAUGUGCACCGUUCCUAAGUUUCAGGAUCAUCUUGCUCAGUGUGAAGGCCAGAGUCCAAGAGGUCAGAGCACAUAGAUGGGGAAGAAUAUCUGCUGGCAUGUUGCAGUGGUUGAAAAUAACAACUGAACAGUUGGAGCAAUCCUCUUCAUUGUAAAAUGGACCCAUCAGCACAUUUUGGUAAUUUGUUGACCUCUCAGGAAAAGUCUGAUGUUAAGCACUAAAGAUGGUCCAGGUUGUGGAUUGCAUGAG
Camarhynchus parvulus is the source of this 487-nucleotide long non-coding RNA. RefSeq lists it as uncharacterized. The transcript is spliced from 5 exons. Lineage: Eukaryota; Metazoa; Chordata; Aves; Passeriformes; Thraupidae. The record is from RefSeq and is a predicted model, not a curated record.